Molecule: long non-coding RNA, 410 nt
Filed under: Phascolarctos cinereus (koala)
Lineage: Eukaryota; Metazoa; Chordata; Mammalia; Diprotodontia; Phascolarctidae
Description: lncRNA (ENSPCIG00000033499.1)
Source: RNAcentral
UUUAAUGAGGUCUUUUUCUCUCUUUUGUUGUUUUUUUGCCCUUUUUUUCCAGGGUCCUGCAGGAAGACCUGGACUUCCGGGACUCAAGGGCCAACCAGGAGAGAAGGGAGCCCCAGGAGAUGCUGGAAUGUCUAUUAUUGGUCCUCGUGGUCCCCCGGGUCAGCCUGGCACAAGAGGCUUUCCUGGAUUUCCGGUGAGUGGGGAUGGUUUCUGUAAAUGCCCUUGCCCAUCCAUUUCAGCUGGGCCUCAUUGCACUGAGUCGUCCCUUACAUGGGCAUUCCCCUCUGAAGCAACAGUGGCUCUUUCGUGGAGUGCUCUACUCCUCAGCCCUUCCGAAAAUGAAGCCAGACUUGGGAUAGCUCAGAGCUGGGACUGCUUCUAGUUGUUAGAGAGAGAGAGAAAAGGGAAAG